GCUCAAGUUGGGAGGCGUUACCUGCGGAGGGUUUGAGGCACGCCCAGGAGCGAGCCCACGGUCGGCCGACGCGGGGCCAGGGGCGGGCCCCAGGAUCCGGAGCUUCGGGCGGGGCCGAGUCUGGGUUUGGGGCCCGGGAGGCGGGGCCAGUUAGGGCGAGGGUCCCUGGGAUCGUCGGGUCAGGCCUUGGGCUAACGUAGACACUCUCGCAGUACCUCCGCCUUCAGGAAGGUCUUUUUAGCAGGGGCCUUACAGGUGCACGCUUCGGUCCUGGAGGCCUUAUCCUAACCUCUCCAUCAGCGCCACCCGUCUGGGGCCCGAAAGGAGGGAGCUUUCCCUCUGUCCUCCAGCCUUUGGACUGUCUCCAAACAAGCCAUUCGUUCACCAAAUACUUAUUAAGCACCUACCAUGUGCCUGACAAGGGAGAUGUAACGGAGACAAGGAAAACCAAUGGGAACAGCUGGGGAAACUGAGUUACAGAGCUUUUCUGCACUGAGUCAUCAGGAGCAAAUGCUAGAUCAGAUAGGGUCUCUCUCUCUGCCACCCAGGCCAGAGUGCAGUUGACGCAGGGCAGGGGAGCCCCGAAGUGGAGCAUAGUGUGUCCGGAACUGGUGGGUUCUUGGUCUCACUGACUUCAAGAAUGAAGCCGUGGACCCUCACGGUUCAAGCGAUUCUCCUGCCUCAGCCUCC
RNAcentral lists this long non-coding RNA (690 nucleotides) under Homo sapiens (human). RNAcentral's name for it is "HSALNT0312617". The record is from RNAcentral. Lineage: Eukaryota; Metazoa; Chordata; Mammalia; Primates; Hominidae.